UAUAGAAUGCCUGACAAAAGGACCCCCUUGAUGAGGAGGAAAAUAUAGACUUUCUAUUUCUAUAA
RNAcentral lists this transfer RNA (65 nucleotides) under Dendroctonus rufipennis (spruce beetle). Its description in RNAcentral is "tRNA-Ile". Lineage: Eukaryota; Metazoa; Arthropoda; Insecta; Coleoptera; Curculionidae. The record is from RNAcentral.